ACUAGUUCUUAUCUUGUUAGAUGUACUUACCUAACUAUUAGGUAAAUAUGUAUUUGUAUAUGAAAGUGGUUGUAAUAGUUCUAGCUCCCCUCCUAUAUAAAGGGAGCUUUAGUUUCAUUUGUGGUAAGACUUACCAAGAAAUAACAUUCUAGCUUCUUUGUCUUAUGACUUUCUGAAUUUCUCCCUCUCCUGAAAGUUAAAAAUUUUAUCUUAUUCAUAUAAUCCUCUACUAAGGCAUGAGUAUACUCUACAGUUGUCACUUUUAAGUAGAUCCUGCGUAUUAGAAAAUGCUAGUUCACUAAUCCAUUGCUACGGUCCUCCAAAUAUAGUUUUGUAUAAUAAUACAAAAGAGCAAAACCUUGAGAUUUGUUUGGCCAUGAUGUCUUAUUGUAUCUCGACACUGCAUAAGUAUUAUUAUGCUUAACUCAUGUUUGGGGGGCUCCCAACUAGACAUGGUAUAGUUUUAUUAUUAAAUCAAAAGUAACCGAACCAAAAACAAACAAAUUUUAGGAAUUACUAACCGAUGACUAAAUCAAACAUGCCCCUAUCAAAAUAACCGAAUUUCCUCGGUUCGAUUCAGUUCAGUUAUUAGGUUAUAACCAAAUAAUGCACACUCCUAUCCCUAUCACCCAAGAAUCCGGAUUAUCUUGUCAUUUCCUUGUAUAUAUGAUUUUCUGUACAUUCCUUGCCUUAUAUUCAUCUUAAUUAUAGGAAUAAUUACAUAAUUACAGGGAUUCUUUUUAGGAACAUUUUUUGUAUCAAAACCAUAUCAUUCUUAAUCAUAGUUAAAUACCAUUGUUUUCUUUUCUUUCUUACAACA
RNAcentral lists this unclassified non-coding RNA (820 nucleotides) under Hevea brasiliensis (rubber tree). The record is from RNAcentral. Lineage: Eukaryota; Viridiplantae; Streptophyta; Magnoliopsida; Malpighiales; Euphorbiaceae.